This 172-nucleotide ribosomal RNA is filed under the name uncultured bacterium. RNAcentral's name for it is "partial 16S ribosomal RNA". It matches the Rfam family "Bacterial small subunit ribosomal RNA", at positions 340 to 524 of the family's 1533-position model. The record is from RNAcentral.
UACGGGAGGCAGCAGUGGGGAAUAUUGCACAAUGGGCGCAAGCCUGAUGCAGCGACGCCGCGUGAGGGAUGACGGCCUUCGGGUUGUAAACCUCUUUCGCCAGGGACGAAGCGCAAGUGACGGUACCUGGAUAAGAAGCACCGGCUAACUACGUGCCAGCAGCCGCGGUAAU